This 138-nucleotide small nucleolar RNA is filed under the name Sorghum bicolor (sorghum). Its description in RNAcentral is "Small nucleolar RNA Z247". It matches the Rfam family "Small nucleolar RNA Z247". Rfam says of the family: Z247 is a member of the C/D class of snoRNA which contain the C (UGAUGA) and D (CUGA) box motifs. Most of the members of the box C/D family function in directing site-specific 2'-O-methylation of substrate RNAs. The record is from Rfam by way of RNAcentral. Lineage: Eukaryota; Viridiplantae; Streptophyta; Magnoliopsida; Poales; Poaceae.
AAACUGGAUGACGAUGAGAUGGUGUCAUACAUCCUCGCCGGCCUCGACACGGACUACAACUCGAUCGUCUCCACCAUCGCCACCAGGGUCGAACCCAUCACUGUCGGUGAGCUCUACCUCAGCUGGUUAGUUUUGAUC